This 253-nucleotide ribosomal RNA is filed under the name uncultured bacterium. RNAcentral describes it as "partial 16S ribosomal RNA". It matches the Rfam family "Bacterial small subunit ribosomal RNA", at positions 524 to 776 of the family's 1533-position model. The record is from RNAcentral.
UACGGAGGGUGCGAGCGUUGCUCGGAAUCACUGGGCGUAAAGCGCACGUAGGCGGCUUUCUAAGUCAGGGGUGAAAUCCUGGAGCUCAACUCCAGAACUGCCUUUGAUACUGGAGAGCUUGAGUCCGGAAGAGGUGAGUGGAACUCCGAGUGUAGAGGUGAAAUUCGUAGAUAUUCGGAAGAACACCAGUGGCGAAGGCGGCUCACUGGUCCGGUACUGACGCUGAUGUGCGAAAGCGUGGGGAGCAAACAGG